Onychostoma macrolepis is the source of this 446-nucleotide long non-coding RNA. RefSeq lists it as uncharacterized. The record is from RefSeq and is a predicted model, not a curated record. NCBI's taxonomy places the organism in Eukaryota, Metazoa, Chordata, Actinopteri, Cypriniformes, Cyprinidae. The transcript has 3 exons.
UAUAAUGGGUUCUAUAUUGUUGUCUGUUGUCGAGUUGCGCCGCGCCCGAGGAAGACACUGAAGCAGCGGGGCAGCUCCGCCGGGUUUUCCCAGGGAUGAACCCGCCAGAGUGGAAGAGCUCCGGAGAACAUCUGCGCUGUGUGUUGAUGCACCUUAGGAGAGAAUGAGACCAGCAAGCAAGGCAACUGCAAUGAAAGCAUCAAGAAAGACAUGAACAUGCCAGCCACCCUGAGACUGACAAUUCAUGAGAAGACAUUUCUGUCACUAACAAAGUGGAUGGUGAGCAAAGAUGGUGGCCACAUUUUGGAGCAGCACCUGGGUUUUGCAGAUGGCUAUGUAUUCUUUGGUUGUUUGUCUUUUUCCCCAUUAUGUUUCUGUUGCAUAAAGAUUCUUUGUGAGGAUAAAUCCAGAGGACACAACAUAAUGCACUGCAAAACGUCCUAAGA